Molecule: transfer RNA, 75 nt
Filed under: Rhodococcus rhodochrous
Lineage: Bacteria; Bacillati; Actinomycetota; Actinomycetes; Mycobacteriales; Nocardiaceae
Description: tRNA-Pro(cgg)
Source: RNAcentral
CGAUCGUGUAGACGGUGCGUCCGUCGCGCUCGGAACGCGACGCGAUCAGGGUGUUGCGCCGCACCUCCCAUUCGA